RNAcentral lists this ribosomal RNA (133 nucleotides) under Pseudobutyrivibrio ruminis. RNAcentral describes it as "partial 23S ribosomal RNA". It matches the Rfam family "Bacterial large subunit ribosomal RNA", at positions 1210 to 1345 of the family's 2925-position model. Lineage: Bacteria; Bacillati; Bacillota; Clostridia; Lachnospirales; Lachnospiraceae. The record is from RNAcentral.
AUGUUUACAUGAGUGGUAGAGGAGCAUUCUUGCAACCGAUGAAGCUGUACCGUAAGGAGCAGUGGAGGAACAAGAAGAGAGAAUGCCGGAAUGAGUAGCGAGAUGAAGGUGAGAAUCCUUCAGGCCGAAUAUC